Non-coding RNA from Trichinella spiralis, 86 nucleotides. Lineage: Eukaryota; Metazoa; Nematoda; Enoplea; Trichinellida; Trichinellidae. The record is from Rfam.
UCAAGGCCCGGAACAGGUUUUCACCCUGAUCUAACAGUGUGUUCGAUUCGUGUGAGAUCACCGUGAAAGCCUUUUCCGUGCUUUCC